AACGAACGCUGGCGGCAUGCCUAACACAUGCAAGUCGAACGAAGGCUUCGGCCUUAGUGGCGCACGGGUGAGUAACGCGUGGGAAACUGCCUAUUGGUGGGGAAUAACGACGGGAAACUGUCGCUAAUACCGCAUAAGCCCUUCGGGGGAAAGAUUUAUCGCCGAUAGAUGUGCCCGCGUCCGAUUAGCUAGUUGGUGAGGUAAUGGCUCACCAAGGCGACGACCGGUAGCUGGUCUGAGAGGAUGAUCAGCCACACUGGGACUGAGACACGGCCCAGACUCCUACGGGAGGCAGCAGUGGGGAAUAUUGGACAAUGGGCGAAAGCCUGAUCCAGCAAUGCCGCGUGAGUGAUGCAGGCCUUAGGGUUGUAAAGCUCUUUCGGGUGGGACGAUGAUGACGGUACCACCAGAAGAAGCCCCGGCUAACUUCGUGCCAGCCGCCGCGGUAA
This 449-nucleotide ribosomal RNA is filed under the name uncultured bacterium. RNAcentral describes it as "partial 16S ribosomal RNA". It matches the Rfam family "Bacterial small subunit ribosomal RNA", at positions 29 to 523 of the family's 1533-position model. The record is from RNAcentral.